CAAAAGCUAUGAAGCCUAGCUUUCCUAGAUUAUGAGAAGUUCUUCUCACCAGCUACUUCUUAGAAUCUUAAGAUGCCCCAAACAUGGCCCUAGAAAAAAGUACAGAGCUUUGUUAUGCUUCUUACUUUCUACCUAUCAUAUAUUGAGUUUUGUUACUAGUGUUCAGUCUCUUGAACUCUUCACAAGAAUGUGACUAUCUAACAGGCUAGGAAAUUUGACACCUGCAUUGCACCCCUCCCAUGUGUGAUAGCCUAUAGAAAAGUAAAUGAACCUAAAAAUAAAGCUAUGGUCACACUGGCUCUUGUUCUACUUUAUGGCAAUCUCAUACCACCAGCUAUUAAUUUGGCUUCUAGCAUUUGUUAGUAAUUUUAAUGGCUUGGCCCCAAGCUAACAACAAAAGUUGAUUGCCAUAUUCAAGAAUAAAGACCUCAGGUAUUGUUCUCCUGCUAGUCAUGAUCUUUUGCGAGUUUCGAUGAGCCAGAGCACUACGACACUUGAUAUAGAAGUUAUUACAAUGCUAAGACGACACUAGAAGUACCAAUGGGUAGAAUAAAAUGCGCUUGAUUGUCACAUAUGACAGCUUGCGUCCAACACAGUAUUGUUCCUGAUAUCCUUUCAUUUGUCCCAAAUAUAAAGUGUGGUAUAGAUCACCUCGUGAGGAACACUAGAAUACUGUUGCAUAUGCUAUCUCUGAAGAUAUGGCAAAUUUACUGAUGAUUCUCAGUACUAGCUGCUAAAAUGACCCAAUUAUAAUACUGCUAUAUAUCUUCCUGCUGCUAGGAAUUCCACAUGGUUCAAAUUUCCAUAGAAAAUUGUCACCGCAUGCUUUUGUGAAAGUGAGGAGACUUUCCUUUGGCAAGAACAUGAGGAUCAUUAGUGACAUAUAUAAUAGCCCCUCUGUAUUUAUAUGGUGUACGAGUCCAUUUCUAUGACUUUUG
RNAcentral lists this long non-coding RNA (938 nucleotides) under Oryza brachyantha (malo sina). Its description in RNAcentral is "long non-coding RNA (OBRA_LNC001958)". The record is from RNAcentral. Lineage: Eukaryota; Viridiplantae; Streptophyta; Magnoliopsida; Poales; Poaceae.